CACGUAAGGGGCGAGCGUUGUUCGGAAUUAUUGGGCGUAAAGGGCACGCAGGCGGUUAUACAAGUCCGAUGUUAAAGACCUGGGCUUAACUCAGGGGAUGCGUUGGAAACUGUAUGACUAGAAUCUUGGAGGGGGAGUCGGAAUUCCUAGUGUAGGGGUGAAAUCUGUUGAUAUUAGGAAGAACACCGGUGGCGAAGGCGGACUCCUGGCCGAAGAUUGACGCUGAGGUGCGAAAGCAUAGGGAGCAAACAGG
Molecule: ribosomal RNA, 253 nt
Filed under: uncultured bacterium
Lineage: Bacteria
Description: partial 16S ribosomal RNA
Rfam family: Bacterial small subunit ribosomal RNA
Source: RNAcentral